Molecule: ribosomal RNA, 337 nt
Filed under: Magnoliophyta environmental sample
Lineage: Eukaryota; Viridiplantae; Streptophyta; Magnoliopsida
Also listed under: 1 other name
Description: eukaryotic LSU rRNA
Rfam family: 5.8S ribosomal RNA (bases 1-84)
Source: RNAcentral
UGCAGAAUCCCGUGAACCAUCGAGUCUUUGAACGCAAGUUGCGCCCGAAGCCAUUAGGCCGAGGGCACGUCUGCCUGGGUGUCAAACAUCGUUGCCCAAACACAAUGUCCUUCUCCGGGCAUCAUGUGAAGGGCGGAUGCUGGCCUCCCGUGAGCACGCCUCGCGGUUGGCCUAAAUGCGAGUCCACGGUGGCGAGCACCACGACGCACGGUGGUUGAGUAACGCUCGAAGCCAGUCCUGCGUGUCUCGUCCCAAUACACGGCUCCUUGACCCUCUUGCAUCCCACGGAUGCUUCCAACGCGACCCCAGGUCAGGCGGGGCUACCCGCUGAAUUUAA